This 448-nucleotide ribosomal RNA is filed under the name uncultured bacterium. RNAcentral's name for it is "bacterial SSU rRNA". It matches the Rfam family "Bacterial small subunit ribosomal RNA", at positions 29 to 524 of the family's 1533-position model. The record is from RNAcentral.
AGCGAACGCUGGCGGCAGGCCUAACACAUGCAAGUCGAGCGCCGUAGCAAUACGGAGCGGCAGACGGGUGAGUAACGCGUGGGAACAUACCCUUCGGUUCGGAAUAACUCAGGGAAACUUGAGCUAAUACCGAAUACGUCCGUGAGGAGAAAGAUUUAUCGCCGAAGGAUUGGCCCGCGUAAAGAUUAGCUAGUUGGUGAGGUAACGGCUCACCAAGGCUAUGAUCUUUAGCUGUCUGAGAGGAAGAUCAGCCACACUGGGACUGAGACACGGCCCAGACUCCUACGGAGGCAGCAGUGGGGAAUAUUGGACAAUGGGCGCAAGCCUGAUCCAGCCAUGCCGCGUGAGUGAUGAAGGCCUUAGGGUUGUAAAGCUCUUUUACCAGGGAAGAUAAUGACUGUACCUGGAGAAUAAGCCCCGCUAACUUCGUGCCAGCCGCCGCGGUAAC